Molecule: long non-coding RNA, 475 nt
Organism: Populus euphratica (Euphrates poplar)
Lineage: Eukaryota; Viridiplantae; Streptophyta; Magnoliopsida; Malpighiales; Salicaceae
Exons: 3
Source: RefSeq, a predicted model, not a curated record
AAGAGAACGAUGUUUGCAUUGCAUCUGAGAAAUAGUAGAAGGUUUUUUCCAUUGUCAAGAGAAUGAUGCUUGCACUGCAUCGAUAAUUCUUGUUGCCUAACUAUGAUCAUCAUAUAAUGUUACCUUUAUCCAUAUAUUGCAUGAUACUAGGCUAUCCUUCUGCUUUAGGCGUGGUUCUAUAGCCCAUUAAUUGUUAUACAAUCAUGAAGUUGAUCCAGCAGUUGGUCUAUCGCCUAAAAGAAUAGUAACUGUGAUUUUUAUUUUUAGGUUCGAGUGGAAGGAUCUGUGCAGAAAGUUCCGGACGAGGAAUCUGAACAGUGCAUGUAUAUCUGUCCUCAAGGAAGUGAAAUUGGAGCAAUAGUUAGCAAUCAGAGUGCUAUAAUUCCUGGAACGCAUGUUCUACACCAAACAUACAAAGAAUAAGUGGAAAAAUGUUCUGAUGGAAAUUUGAUUCCAAAACCUAAACACUGGGGAG